GGGCCCGCACAAGCGGUGGAGCAUGUGGCUUAAUUCGAUGCAACGCGAAGAACCUUACCUGGGCUCGAACGCUAUCUGACAGACCCUGAAAGGGGUCCUUCUUCGGACGGAUAGUGAGGUGCUGCAUGGCUGUCGUCAGCUCGUGUCGUGAGAUGUUGGUUAAGUCCCGCAACGAGCGCAACCCCUAUUACUAGUUACCAGCACGUUAUGGUGGGGACUCUAGUGAGACUGCCUGCGCAAGCAGUGAGGAAGGUGGGGACGACGUCAAGUCAUCAUGGCCCUUAUGCCCAGGGCUGCACACGUGCUACAAUGGUCGGUACAAUGGGCUGCCACCUCGCGAGAGGGAGCU
This 349-nucleotide ribosomal RNA is filed under the name uncultured bacterium. RNAcentral describes it as "bacterial SSU rRNA". It matches the Rfam family "Bacterial small subunit ribosomal RNA", at positions 917 to 1269 of the family's 1533-position model. The record is from RNAcentral.